GGAUGAAGAGUUUGAAUACCGGACGAUUACCGCUUCAAACUGAGGGUCAAAAGAACACUCUUUUGAGACUGUGAAGGGGGACACACUACCUCUAAAAUGAGUCAGUGUGGAGACGGACACACUACCUCUAAAAUGAGUCAGUGUGGAGACGGACACACAACCUCUAAAAUGAGUCAGUGUGGAGACGGACACACUACCUCUAAAAUGAGUCAGUGUGGAGACGGACACACUACCUCUAAAAUGAGUCAGUGUGGAGACAGAGGGCAGGGAGCCACUGCCUCUAAAAGGCCGUAUUCUGAAGACUGUGACGUGAAGGCUGUUCCUUCUAAAAAGAAAUGCUUAACUGAAGAUAUCAUAGAGGAAUCUCUCUUGGACCCCUGUGUUGAGACACAGAGGGCAGCAUCUCCAGUUCCCAGCUGUGUGUCUAUGAAGAGUGACAGUUCCAUGAUAGAUCGGCCAGGAUUCAUUG
Chanos chanos (milkfish) is the source of this 469-nucleotide long non-coding RNA. RefSeq lists it as uncharacterized. The transcript is spliced from 3 exons. The record is from RefSeq and is a predicted model, not a curated record. Lineage: Eukaryota; Metazoa; Chordata; Actinopteri; Gonorynchiformes; Chanidae.